UAGCUGUAGGUGAACCUGCAGCUGGAUCAUUUUUCCGAUGUAAUCCAAAAAUACCUUAAAUAAAAUCUGAGGGCACAAACACACCUUUGUGCUUCUCACACACAAAAACUUUUAUUUUGCCGCUUGACACACACAAACAUGUGUUGAGCACGGCUCCCACAACGUGUCGCGAUGGAUGACUUGGCUUUCUAUUUCGAUGAAGAACGCAGC
RNAcentral lists this unclassified non-coding RNA (210 nucleotides) under uncultured fungus. RNAcentral's name for it is "sequence contains ITS1, 5.8S rRNA gene". The record is from RNAcentral. Lineage: Eukaryota; Fungi.